This 242-nucleotide unclassified non-coding RNA is filed under the name Hevea brasiliensis (rubber tree). The record is from RNAcentral. Lineage: Eukaryota; Viridiplantae; Streptophyta; Magnoliopsida; Malpighiales; Euphorbiaceae.
AUUGGGAUGUCCAUUAACAGGCCGGCGUAUCUCCAUCUUAAAGACAAUAUUGUCGUCUGCAACCUCCUCAUGAUCGCAGUUGCGGCAGGCAUAGAGGAGGACGCUCUGCACCUUGUCUUCCUUAGGGUACAGCACAUUGUUGCAGUCGGGGCAGAACUUCAUUGUACUCAUGGCUUGCUGCUUCCUUCUCCUCCGCGCUGGGGCGGAGGGUACGAGGGGGGUGAGGGUUAAGAGGUUUGAGG